AAAGAUACUAUUUUAUUAGGAAUCAUGAGGAACUUCUCAAGCAUAGUUGUCUUUCUCUUUUCCCUUUUCAUUGUUCUCAGUAAGUUCCAUUUUAAUUUACAUAAUAUUUUCAAUUAAAUAAAAACAUAUAGUGACCUUAUGUAGAAUAAUUAGUUCAUCGUUUUUAGAACAAUAAUAAAGUAAAAUAUUUAUUAUAGUAUGUCUUGUAAAGUUUGCAAUAUUUUACUAAUUAAAGUAGAAUGACGAUAAGUUUUCAAAUUUAUAGGAUGUUAUUCUAUUCUUUUGUACAUGAUGGAAUGGUCUAACCGAAUUUUUGUUAUGAUGGAUCAUCCUACUAUUGUUUUGACUAUAGGUAAAAAUAAACGAUUAUUAUUAAAAAAAUGAAUAACCUUGAUUUGAUGUAAUCUAAUGAAGUGGUCACAUGAAUAUGUAAAAUUCACCUAUUAACAUUGUGGUCAUUGGUCACAAAUUUUAUUUCUCAUAGCGAAUUAAUUGUUUCUCCUUUCUUUCUUUUUCCAAACAAAUUAAGGCACUAAGUAGACAGGAAUGCAGGUUGAAGGAAAGGAAUGUCGAGUUCCGCUUCCAGGAGCUGUCAAACCUUGUGACCCAACAAAAUGCAACACACAAUGCUUUGAUAAGUACCAAAAUAAGCCUAAUCCUCCUGGUAUUACAGGAACACUUCUUGGAGGAAAUUGUUUAGAUGAUAGUUGUUCUUGCACCUUUUGGUGUUAAAUGUACUAUCCCUUAUAUCUAUUCAAAAAAUUCUAUAUUUGAUAUUUUUAAUGGAAUAAACCAAUAAUAUCUAUUGUUACAGUCAAAUUAUCAAGGUUGUAUUAAUUUUUUAUUAACUAAUUAACAAUAUGUGAAUCUUUGAAUCCAAAACAAAAUACUUUUGAUUUGUCAUAGAAUCUUCAAAUAUUUUAGGAAAACUUAUAUAGACUUUGAAAACAUUACUAAUUAAAAGAUUAAGCUAGAAAGUUUAAUUGUCUUGGAUACUGACACUUUUUACACUUCAUUGCACAAAUUAAUUAUACAUAAUGCUAUAGAUCUCAUUAUAAGAUAUUAUAUUAAAAUCAACCACACAAAAGUAUAAAAUGUUAAGUACCAAGAUAAGCCUAAUUCCCCUAGUAUUAAAGAAGCACUUCAUAGAUGAAAUUGUUUCGAGGACACUUUUCUUGAACCUUUUCGUGUUAAGUAUACUACUUCUAAACUACAUGAAAAAGUUCUUUUUCAAGUUAUUUUUUGAUAAAAUAAGUGAUAAUUCUGUCAUUUAAUAUUUGAAUUUUCAUUACUUUGAAGAAAAAAAUUAGCUUUGUUUGAAGCUUUUGAAUCAAAAUUAAUACUUCUAAAUUUGUCUUAAUAUAUUAAAAAUACUUCCAAAAAUGCUCGAAACAUUACUAAAUAAAAUAUUAAUCUCGACAAUCUUAAAUGUAUUUUGAUAUUGAAAUUAUUUAUUGUUGAUAAUGGUCAAUUACACCUGUAAAAGGUACAUAUGGUCAUUGUCAAUAUUUUUAACUCAACUUAGAGGUUGGGUCAAACCACAAAGAAUGAUUUUAAAAAGUUCACUUUAGAGUGUAAGUGGCUUAAUUAGUGCUUGUACAUAUUGAUUUAAAUUAUGAAAUGCUAUUGGGGGACUUUUGUAAGCAAUUUUGAUCGUAGUUAUAAUGUGAGUUGAAUUGCAAUGAAUAAGACAUGAAAGUAGCGGUCUACGAUAAAAGUAACUUGAGGAUCUAUUGUCAUAAAAGUAGAAUCAUAUGUGGGUGAAUAACAAUUUUUUUGAUUCAAUAAUAAAAACUAUGGGUAGGCUAUAUCUUGAGUAUUAAUGUUAAUCUCUCAAUUAAGAACGAAAUUUAAUAUGUGGGUUCUCUCAAAACUCCUUGUAUACGAUCUUGACCAAUCUAAAACCUUAAUUUGAUUGCAUUUUUUCUAUAAUCAUCCAUAAAAAGAUAUUAAUCUAGUCAUUGUUAAUCAUUAUCCCUCGCCCUUAUCCCCUAUCUCAAGAAAGAUAAAGAGUCUAAGCUUAAUUAUAGUUUGCAACAAACAUUUAUAAAUUGAAAAAUGGGAUAAUCAUGAAAUCCAUAGUAAACAAUCAACUAGAAAAACAAAUAUUUACUACCCAUGUAUGUAUUCUCCACAAGCUCCUAGAUAAGUUUCCAACAAUUUGUCAUAUGUUUUAAGACUCCAAAAUGAUUAUUUCAAACAUUAGAUAUAUGUCAUGACCAUUCACCUUGAGUAUGAAGUAUUUUCACUUUCCUUAUGCUUUGAGAUUUUUAAACUUCCUCAUGAAUUAUUUCAAACAUUAGAUAUAUGUCAUGACCAUUUGAUUUUUAAUUGAUUUUGAAUAAAUUGACUUUCUAGGGUCUAUACCCCCUUUCCUUAUGCUUUGAUAUUUUUAAACUUCCUCAUGAAUUGAACAUUAUUUUACAAAUGAUUUCAAGUUUACUUAUGUUUUUAUCCCUGAAAAUGAUCUUAAGAAUUUAGUUUGAUAUUUUUAUAUGAAGUUCUAUGAGAUGAUGAAUGAUUUCAAGUUUAAGCAUAAGUUACUAAGUUUAUAAGAAGUUCAAGUUUAUAAUUUUAAGAUACAUGUUUUACAGAAUUAUUAAAGUUCAUUUUUGAUCUUAUGAUAUCAGAUAAGGCAAGAAAUCCACAAGUUUCCUCAUGAAUAUGAUUUAAGUAAAAGAAGCAUUGUUGGUUUUUUUAGUUUAUAAACUCAUAUGCUAUUUUAAGGUAGAUUUAACAAGUAUAAGCAUACAAGUGUGUAUGUUGGGAGUAGUAUUUAGCAUCAAAAUGGGAAUGUGGGUUUAGCGCAUCUUACUUCCCAGAAACCACAUGCCACCGUAGGUUUAAGGGCCUUGCUAGAGAUUGUUUGUCUUGCCCAAUAAGGGCUCAGUUUAGUGAUCACUCUAAGUUAAGGUUCCCUUCCAAUGGAAAUGGUAGAACAACUCUCCUCAACGUGGGUAUGAUGCUGGAGUCCAUAAUAGCUAACAUGGUUUAUAUCGAUUAUAAGAAUCUCCCAUAAAAGUAAAGAUUUUAGAAACUAAGUAUAAUGACUUACUAAGCUUAUUAGAUUAUUCUUCAUUAUUCAUCUUUUAUGAUAUUUUAGCUUUCAAUUUUUAUUCAUAUUAAAGGUGAGUCUUUUGACACUUAGCACACAUGAUUUUAAAGUAUGUUCAACUAAAAUGUUCCUUAUUGCAUUCAAUCCCACAUACUCGGUAUAUUUUUUAAGUAUUGGCCACAUAUUCGUCUAUGUGGCUAAAUUAUUUCAUAAUGUAGGUACCAGUUAUAGCCCACACAUCAUAAUUAGAUAGUUCGUAGCUUCCAUCCAGCAGGUGAUGAGUUCUUUUGAUUGGAGGAAUCAAGUCAACCAUAGUUCUAGUAUCAUUUUUAUCCAAUUGUAUUGAUUAGGGAUAGAUCGGGGUCAUGUCCUGACUACCCAUAGUCAGUAUUAGUAGAUGCUUCAUAGAUAGUCAGUUAGAGUUGAUAUAUUCAAAUUUCAAUUUUUGUUUUGUAUAACCAGAGUAUAACUAUUUUAAACAAUUUUUAUUGAAUAUGUUCAGCUAAAGAUAUUUCUUAUGCUUACUACUUCUAAUUUUAUGUAUUUUAUUCAAUUUCUCAUGAGUUCUGCCAAUCUCAUGGUUUAGCAUUGGAUCACUUGUGGUUCUAAGCAUUGUGUGACAUCAAGAGGGUAGUCUCGGACAUUACAAACCUAGUAUUAGAGCACAGAGUUUAUGAUUCCUAGGAUGUCUGUGAAGCCAUAUCUAGCAGAGUCUUGCAGAACGGUACAAAGACGUUUGUACUUUAUUUUAGAGGUUAUUGGGCAUUUAAGAAAUAGAUCCCUUCUUCAUGCUCCAGAUCAUGCAGCAAAGUUGUUCUCUCAAAAACUUCUGUCACUUCAUGUGUUACACCAUAAUUCUCCAUAUAUGAGUUACUCUUGCGAUAAUAUGAGUAGUAUAUUUUAAUCCUCUCGAGAUGAUGCACUCAAAUUUACUAUCAGUAACUUCAGAAAUCACAUAAAGGAGGUUUAGAGGAGCCCGCUAGUAUGUUUAAAAUCCUUCAAUUUUAAAGUCUAUGUUUUAAUCCAUUUGAAUUGUGUAGUUAAUAUAGAAUAUGCUAUGCAAUCUGAUUUCUCUUUAGCCCUUCAUUACAGAUAGCACUCAUGAAAUGAGAGAGCAUGUGCAUAGGGUAUUCAAUAUAUUUUUUAUUAAGGGGUAGAGUAACUUAGGGUGUUAUGAUUCAUGAGUAAUAGAACAUCAUAAGAGUUGGAAGUAUGGAUUUAUUGGUUUAAUAAUAAGAAAAGGUGGGGUUAUCAUUUAGUUAGGGAAUAUUGAUGGAUCUAUGUUUGUUUUUAAGUAGGAUUGAGGUGAUUUGUCCUUAUGUGUUAAAUAAGGGGUAGUGAAUGUAGUGUAGGUUUCAUAGUGAAAGGUAGAGAAGAGUUAUUAGUUAAGGUGAAUUGUGAUACGCUAAAAGUAGGAAAGGAGUUCUUGAUGGUAUUCCAUAGUGUUGGAAAAGUAUAUGUUAUUAACGAAAGUAUUAUGUUAUUAAGGAUUGUAAAUGUGGGUUCUCCUUCUGGUUAAUUCUUGUAGGGUUAGGAGAAUAAUUUAGAUAUAUAGAAGUAGUAACGAUGUGUGGGAGGAUGAACUAACGAGUUAUGAUAAGACAGAGCAUAAGAUUAUGAUAAAUCAUUGUUAUUAUGAGGUUAUAGUGGACUAGUGUUUCUUGAUGUUUUAUUUUAUAUCUUCCGAGCAAGAAUAGUGUAUGAAGCUAUGUGGUUAAUCAGGUCUAGUGUUAACACUAUGUUUGAACAAUAGAUGAUCAUCAAGGUGGGAAUAAUGAUUGAUUAAGAUAGUGAAGCUAGAUAUAGGGAAGGUGAGCUGGUAGGUUUGGAAUUAUGUAUGCAAGAAGUUCAUUUUUUUUGCAAUUAAGUAUGAUCGUAUAGAUAUGAUGUAGAGGUGUACCCAAAGUGAUAUGUUUCAUGAUCUGAACCAGGGCCUGAACAUGACAAGUACCUCAAGUCCACCAUAGACUGGAGACCACCCUCAUGGCCUAGUCAACUAGAUUACAAUAUUUCAUAACAGCUGAAUACCAACACACAAUAAGAUAGUAGAAUAUGAUUAAGACACAAAGAAGUCCAUAAGUUCAACAACCAAUCUGAAGCCCACAAUAAUCCACAAAUGUCUCUAAACAUAGAAACACCAAUAAUAAUCUGGACAUGCCCCCAACAAUAGCUAAAAUAAGUCCAAAGUAUGAAAGAUCACCACUUCAAUCAAACUAAUGAGCUAUGCCACAAUCACCUAUUAACUCUGCAAGAGGAGUAGAUGUAAUACCGCGAAGUUUCUUAACUAAUUUUGUUUCUAGAAUGUCAAGUAUUAUCUACUAAAUUAAAUGAUAUAUAUUAUAUGAGGAAUUUUUAAGAUUUUCACUUUUUGUCAUGUGGGAAAUUCAAUAAGAUUUUCAUGGAUAUAAAAUUUUCCUAUAUCCGAUAACUGGAUAAGAAGUUAUGACUAUUUCAAGUUCCCAUCAUAAAAUAGCACCAUAUUAGUCAGUGGCGCACCGCUCCAUUGGAGAAAUUGGCAAUUGUCAAAUUCCAGUAGGGAUACGCGAUAGUGGCACGUUGUGCCAAACUUCCGGAUCUCAAAUGAAGUGGCAACGCGAUGGCUCUGUGUCAUACCAUCCCUCAAUUUCCCAGUUGUCAAAUUCAGUGAUGUGGCGCCAGGGGUCCAAUUCGGGAAAAUUCAUUGAAUUUAAAAGACGCGUUCAGGGUUUAAAGGGUCAAUUUACCACCCUUAUUUAAGCCCUUUAACCUGAUAUUCAGCUAUUUGGAACCAAAAAUAUACUAGUUUCUCUCAAUUUUCUCUCAAGAACAAGCUAGAAUUUCAAUUGGGGAUUCAAUUUCUAGAAAGUCUAUCUGUCAAUCUUCGCUAAAUCAAGAACUAAGGUAUGCGUUGUCUUUAUUUAUGGAUUCUUUUCAUCCAUAAAGCUAAAGAGCCCAAUUUUAAGUUAUGAAUCAUGAUUAUUAUGUUGUGGGUUGCUCAAGUUAUGUGAUGGUUGUUGUUUGAUUCCCAUGUUAGGAUCCUUAUGUGAAAUUAUGAAAACUACGUUAGCAUAUAAAUUGAAAUCCAUAAAUUUGGUGGUUUAUGAUUUGUAAAAUUUGAUGAUUUCACCUAUGCCUUAAGUUGUGUAUGUAAUAUGUUUAAUAAAAUGCCUAAAGGGAUAGAAUUAUGUACCCUAGCUAAAUUAUGACCCAAAUGACAAUGUAUCCUUUAACCUUAUGUUCAAAAUAACUUCCAUGUUAUUCUCAUCUAUUGAAAUUGCUUGUGGAGUUGCUCAUGAGUUAGCCUUAUGAAAUUAUGCUAAAUAUACAUGCUAUCUUAUUCACGUACCAAGAUAUGAUAAUCAAAUUCCCAUGAGAUAUCUCCAACUAUUGUAUUAUGGAUUGUUGAUGUUGGCCGUGUAUUCAAUAAUGUCGUGCCUUGUCAAUUUCCUUCGAUCGAUUCUUGGGGGUACAUGUACCCAAAAAAUAUAACUGUGUGCCUAUAUUUAGUGUCAUGUUUUCACGUAUCCUCCAUCAAGCCAUGGUCCAUAGAACCCAGUCAGUCACGUGACUCAGGAAAGAUCAGUAAUUCAGUAAUCUCAGUAGUAUUCCGUUACCUAAAGGAACUCUAUGAAUUUAGUCUAGCCCAGUUCAGUUUAUCAUGUUUAGUGUCUAUUUAGAUGGGAGUAGGAAUUAGCACCGAGUGAACCCAAGGAUGGGAAAUCACCUAUUAUAUGAGGGUGUGAUUAUUAGAAGUAAUCCUUACGUUACCGAACUACAUAUCCAGCGUAGGUUGAGAUAUCAUAGCCUACUAUAUGAGGGUAGAUGAGGUGGCUUAACCUAUUAUAUGAGGGUUCACACCGUUCUCACUAGAGUUACCUAUUAUAUGAGGGUUACUCACAGAUUGUCCUUACCAAUGGCAUGGUAUUGACACCCUUGGCUACAAAUUGGACCCCAACUCAGCCAUAAUGUCUUAUUAGGGGCAUGUCGGUUAGAUAAUUACUUCCCACAAUUUCAAUUACAAAAUCAGGACUGUUAGGUACAGUCAAUCAGUCUCAGUAUUAGAACUCAGAUAGUUCUACAGAAUUUAGGAUUGUCAGAUACUAUCAACUCAGAACAGUACGAAACUCAGCUAGUUCCAUCAGAUUUAGGACUGCUAGAUACAGUAACUCAUGUAAUCAGUUAUACCAGCCAUCAGAAAUCAGUUAUCAGUCGUGUUAGUUAUCAGUAAAUUCAUGUUAUCACGAUCUUAGAUAUAGUUACUAUGCAUUUAGGCAUGUAUUCUCACGUUCAUAUUAGUUAGUUAUCUAACAUUAUUCAUGCAUAUAAACCCCCCAUAUUCAGCCUACCUCACAUGCAUAUCAGUACAUUCAAAGUACUGACGCAUUUUCGCUAUGGUAUCUUAUACCAUAGAUUCAGAAGCACGAGCUCUAGAGCAUCAGUAGCAUUCUAUUCUUCGUAGUCUAAGUUAGCAAUGAGUCCUCAUCUCUCGAGGACAUUAUCAUUUAUUUAUUAUCUCAUUAAGUAAUUUAUUAGUUGGAGUUAGUUGGAGACAUAUCCCAUCAACUCCUUAUUCAGACAAUUCAGUCAGUUAGAGGCUUUCCAGACUAUGAUGUUUAGACUAUCAAGUUAUUUCAAUUUAGUUUUGGGUAUUUCAUACCCCAUUCAGAUGUUAUAUCUCCAUCAGUUAUGUUACAGUCUUGAACCUUAUGGCCUUUUAGUUCAUGUUUCUGUAAUCAUACAGUAUGUUAUGCAGUAUACAAGUACAAAUGUCAGUCACGGGUUAGCUUGUAGUCCUUCGGGGUCAUGAGCACUGUGUAGCAUUUCGGGUGCUAGAUCCGGGGCAUUACAUUAGAAGUAUGGACAAUUCUUGUGUCGCGUGAGGAUACAACAGCUAAAGACGAUUAGCAGUUGGAGUGAUAGCAGAUAACUCAGGGACAUAGGACAACAUAAUGUCAUGAUUAACAAUUCAAAAUAAUUCAAAUUCUACGCACAUAAUCAAAUGUAUAUGCACACAUAUAUAUAUAAAUAUAUAUAUAUAUAUAUAUAUAUCACAUGCCAUGGUAGGAAACAAGGCUUAACAUGCACUUUAAAACUUUAGCCUAGAUUGUGUAGCUUAACUAUCAUAUAAUAGAACCACGGUCUAUGUGGGCCCAGCUCUCACCCCUGGUCAAGCCCAAGUGCAUGUAGCCGCACGAACCAAAAAAAUAAUACCACAUAUACGUACAGGGGACUCGAACCUCCCAAUCAUAUACUAAGGUGACUUAAACACCCGAUCAUGUAAUGGAAUAUGGGGGAAUAAAAAAUCCCAAUUAUUUAAUAAGGCAGACUCAAACCACCUGGUAAGAAAUGAGGGGAAUCGAACCUCAGAAUAUUUCAAACCUCACGUCGGCAAAUAAGGUUUCCAAUAUUGGUCCAUCAAGACCUCCACUUCCAUGACCUAGAUACACUACUCUCUUUAAAACCAAAUUAAAACAAUUAUCAUACACUCUCCUUCACUGAAACAUUUACACAUUUAGGCAUUCACGGUUUGUAUUGUCAUACCAACUACACUUGCAAGGUAACAUCAACAUACCAAACCAAUAAUCAUCACUUGGGAAAAUUCAUAACCCCCUAUGUUGAAUAUAAAAAUCAUUAUAUUUCAUUAGUUUUUCCAAAUAUGUAGCAGUCUAAGAAUAGUUCAAUGUAAAUACUUUUCAUAUUCAAAACCAAUUUAACAAUAUGGGAUUGAGGUCAUUAACAUUUCAAUUAUCAACAUUCACAAAUUGGGGGAAAUCACAAUCCCCUAGUUUAUUCACCAUACCCAUGCACCCCACAAGUUAAAAAUCAUCAAUAAAGCAUGAAUAAUUUCAUAUAAACCACAGAAAAAGAAAUUACAUCAUUCAUAUUUCAAAAUCCCUCAACCCACAUUAAAAAUCAUCUAUUAAAUUGCAUAGAUACAAUUAUAAAUACAUGUUUUUGAUAAAAUAUUAAUUGGGGAAGAGUAAUAUGUCUUAGACGUAAAGAUUUGUGAGCAAUUGAUAAUUUGGAACCCAAAUGAUUAACGCAAGUUGAAACCAUUAUACUUUCUUGGGGUAUGGAGUUUGUAAGUGACAUAAUCGAUGAUGCGGCAUGAAAACUCAAAGAAAUAUGUCUAUGUAAUGUUUAAAGUUUAUUUAUAAGUGAAAGUACCUCAUUACCCUUCAUUCCAAUUAAAAUUGAACUGAACAACUGAAAUUUACAUAGUUCUGUGGCAUAGGCCUUAUCGCGGAGACUAACCUCGUUACCAUGGAACUUAAUGUGAAGACUAACCUAUAUUUCAUGGAGGCUAUCACAGAAAGCUAGACUCUAUGGCACAUCAAUAUCGUUGAGGCUUACUGCCUCCAUGACCAAAAACCAUCUGAACCCUAUCCAAAAAUUGCAUAACUCUUUCGAGACUCCCCAUUAACAUACUUAAGUAUGAUUUAAGUCAAAAAUCAUUAUUUCAAAUAUAGGGAAGCCAAAAAAUAAAAAAUGAUCAAAUUUUGAGAGUGUUACAUUAUCCCCCAUUUGGGUCUUCAUCCUCGAAUGACAAGCUAGGACACUUUUCGUAUGAGAAUCACAAUAUUACACCAGAAUCAAAUAAUAAACCUGGAUAGUAACAAGGGAACACAAAAUUCGUACCUUAAGAUCCUCCAUCUGAUACAUGGAAUAAGAAUAGGUAUUUAGCCCUCAUAUCUUCCUCUGAUUCCGAGUGGCUUCUUGUAAUUUCUAUUACUCCAAAGGACCUUUAUUGAAGCUACCUCAUUAGUCCGUAACUUCCGAACUUGCUUAUCCAAGAUCUCCACCAGGACCUCCUCAUAUGACAGAGAAUCAGAGGUGCCAACGCUCUCAAUAGGUACCACCAAGGAAGGAUAACCCACACAUUUCUUCAAUAUGGACACAUGAAACACGUGGUGUAUGGAACCUAUACUUGCAGGUAGUUCUAAAUCAUAGGCAACAUUUCCUACUCUCUUCAAAAUCAUAUAGGGGACAACAUAAUAGGGACUGACUUACCCUUCAUACCAAAUUGCAUCACUUCCUUCAAAGUAGACACCAUUAAGAACACCCAACUAACUACAUCAAACUUAAACUCUCUUUACCACACGUUUGCAUAGGACUUUAUGUGAGUCUGAGCAGUCUUAAGCCUAUCCCAAAUCACUUUAACCUUCUCCAAAGCUUGAUGAACAGAAUUUGGUCCGAACAAUCUCGUUUCACUAACUUCAAACCACCCAAUAGGGAAUCUACACCUUCUAUCAUACAACACCUCAAAUGGGGUCACACCAAUACAAGAGUGAUAGCUUUUAUUAUACACAAAUUCUACCAGAGGUAAAUAAUCAACCCAGCUACCACCAAAGUUAAUUUCACAAGCUUGAAUUAUAUCCUUCAAAGUCUAAACAGGCCUUUCUUUUUUCUCAUCCAUCUCCAGGUGGAAAGUGGUACUAAGGCUCACCUUAAUCCCUAAAACUUUAUAAAACAAGCACAAAACUGUGAUAAGAACUGAGUACCAUGUUUAGAAAUAAUAAAAACUAGAGAACCAUGGAACUUCAUAAUCUCUUGAACAAACAACCUUGCAUAGUCCUCCAUAGAAUAAUUAGUCCUCACUGAUAAGAAGUGAGCAAAUUUAGUCAUCCUAUAAACAAUAACCCAAAUUGAACCAAACUAGUUUCGAGUCCUUGGAAGACCGGUAACAAAUUCCAUAUUUACCGUUUCCCAUUUCCAUAUAGGAAACUCGAUUUCUUGAGACAACCGACCAGGCUUCAAGUUCUCCACCUUAACUUGUUGAUAUACCAUGAACUUAGCCACAUAGUUAGUCAUAUCUCACUUUAAGUUAUUCCACUAAUAGAUCUCCUUAAUGUCAUGAUAUAUUUUCAUCGAACCAAGAUGAACCAAAUAACACUAUUCAUGAGCUUUAGCCAAAAUUCUAUCUGAGAACCCAUCUAUAUCGAGAAUAAACAACCAUUCUUGGUACCUCAAUAUGCCAUCACCCCCAAUAUCAAAUGCCAUCACCUUCUGUUUAACCACAUUAUCCUUGAUUCACAUCAACAUAGGGUCUAACACCUACUUCUCUUUUACCUCAACACCUAGAGAUGAUUUUUCCACCUUAUGCACAAAUACACCACCAUCUUCAGAAUCUAAGAGACGAACCCUAAGAUUUUCCAAACGGUGAAUAUCCCUAACCAAGUCUUGCUUCUCCUUUUCCACAUAGGAUAGAAUCCCCAUAGAUGUUCUACUAAGAGCAUCUGCAACCAUAUUAUCCUAACAUGGGUGAUCGUAGAGACUUAUGUCAUAGGUCUUGAGAAACUCAACUCAUCUCCUUUGCCUAAGAUUCAACUCCUUUUGGGUGAACACAUAUUGCAAGAUCUUAUGAUCUGAAUAGAUAUCGACAUGGACCCCAUAUAAAUAAUGAUGACAGGUCUUAAAUUCAAAUACUACAACUAGCAAGUCCAAAUCAUGAGUCGGAUAAUUCUUCUCAUGAAUGAGAAAAGACUAAAUAACUCUUUUAAAAAAAUAAAGAAAAACACUGAUACCAGUCAUAACGACUAAGGUAACGAUUCAUUAGGUUAGGUAAAAAGUCGUGUCCUAGACUCAUUGUCAGAGGUUCUACACCUUGGUGCAACAAUGACAUCCCUCCGUAUGACUCGUUGGUCCUGAUAAUGGGUCAUUAGAAGGAGCCGUUGUUAGGGACUUGAUUUAUGAAUUUCCUUCUAUUGUGAUGGUGGAUCGACCUAAUGAAUCAUUAUGAAUGAUAACGAGUCAUAUGCUGGGCUCAUCACCGUUGAAAUGAAGCUUGGGAUCCCUCAUUAAUGUGGUAACGACUUCAUACAACGACUCGUUAUGUCUGAAAAUGAGUUAUUGAGAGAGUCGUUAUCAGUUGCAGUUGAAAGCCCCUUAAGCAAAUAUUUUAGAACUUCUAGAGCUCAAAAAAUGUAGGGUAUUACAUGUCUCCUUUUUUUCCAAAUUGUAUGUUUUCAAGCUUACCGACUGAAUAAAAUCUACUUGCUUGGUCACUAACAUAAUUAGGUGUUUAAAAGGAUUCUAGACUUUAUAUAUCAUUGAAAUUAAAUGAGUUAUUUCCCUAGAUAGUUUUCAAGGUUCCAAUCAAUUAUAUAGGUUUCCACGACUAAACUUGCUUAUUCUCACUUUUAACCGUGGACUUCUUAUACAAAUUACUUGCUAUAAUCUUAUUUACAAAAGAUUUUUAACACAUAUCAAGUCAUUCUAAAUAGCCAUAAUUCAUUUUAUAUCCUAAGUUUAGUUAUAAAACAUUGAAGACAUAGUAACAUGAAUUAUUUAUAUUAAUGAUCAAGGAAACUUAGUCAUUUUAUUUAUAUUUGGUAAGUUGCCAUAGUUUUAUAAUAUUUGUCCCUAUAUAUAGUUUGCAACUCCUCAAUCUCAAAAUCAGAGCCACAAAGAUACUAUUAUUUGGAAUCAUGAGGAACUUCUCAAGCAUAGUUGUCUUUCUCUUUUCCCUUUUCAUUGUUCUCAGUAAGUUCCAUUUUAAUUUACAUAAUCUUUUCAAUUAAAUAAAAACAUAUAGUGACCCUAUGUAGAACAAUUAGUUCAUCAUUUUUAGAACAAUAAAAAAGUAAAAUAUUUAUUAUAGUAUGUCUUGUAAAGUUUGCAGUAUUUUACUAAUUAAAGCAGAAUGACGAUUAGUUUUCAAAUUUAUAGGAUGUUAUUCUAUUCUUUUGUACAUGAUGGAAUGGUCUAACCGAAUUUUUGUUAUGAUGGAUCAUCCUACUAUUGUUUUGACUAUAGGUAAAAAUAAACGAUUAUUAUUAAAAAAAUGAAUAACCUUGAUUUGAUGUAAUCUAAUGAAGUGGUCACAUGAAUAUGUAAAAUUCACCUAUUAACAUUGUGGUCAUUGGUUACAAAUUUUAUUUCUCCUAGCGAAUUAAUUGUUUCUCCUUUCUUUCUUUGUCCAAACAAAUUAAGGCACUAAGCAGACAGGAAUGCAGGUUGAAGGAAAAGAAUGUCGAGUUCCGCUUCCAGGAGCUGUCAAACCUUGUGACCCAACAAAAUGCAACACACAAUGCUUUGAUAAGUACCAAAAUAAGCCUAAUCCUCCUGGUAUUACAGGAAC
RNAcentral lists this long non-coding RNA (13115 nucleotides) under Capsicum annuum. RNAcentral's name for it is "long non-coding RNA (CANN_LNC007227)". Lineage: Eukaryota; Viridiplantae; Streptophyta; Magnoliopsida; Solanales; Solanaceae. The record is from RNAcentral.